GAAACUCUGGAGAGUCUCAUAAGUGAGCGCCGAAGGUGUACAGUUUUCAAAUAGGGAACUAAUCUCUCAGGCAAAAGGACAGAGCUU
RNAcentral lists this non-coding RNA (87 nucleotides) under Anaerostipes hadrus. RNAcentral's name for it is "Glycine riboswitch". It matches the Rfam family "Glycine riboswitch aptamer", at positions 6 to 89 of the family's 94-position model. Rfam says of the family: This family represents the bacterial glycine riboswitch. Lineage: Bacteria; Bacillati; Bacillota; Clostridia; Lachnospirales; Lachnospiraceae. The record is from RNAcentral.